UAUUUUAUAGUUUAUAAAGAACAGUAAAUUGCAAAUUUAAAAGAAAAUAAAAAUUUAAAAUUU
Molecule: transfer RNA, 63 nt
Filed under: Waoraniella jarlinsoni
Lineage: Eukaryota; Metazoa; Arthropoda; Insecta; Psocodea; Lachesillidae
Description: tRNA-Cys
Source: RNAcentral